GAGGGAAAUUUGAACGUUCUCAACCUUAAGCCACGAAAAGCAAAGAUUAAACCUUAUAUCUUUUGCAUAAUGAUUUAGCUAGUCAAAUCAGACAAAAAGAAUUUAAGCCCAAAAUUAAGUGAGCUAUUGUAGAACAGUUGUCAGAAUGAACUAGUCUAUGUGGCAAAAUUGUGAGAUGAUUUUACAAUAGGAGUGAAAAGCCUACCGAAUUGAAAGAUAGCUGUUGUCCAAAAAACGAAUUUAAAUUCAACUUUAAAUUUAAUCCAAGUUCUAAUAAAGGCCACUUAAACGUAAAUGUUACUCAAAAGGGGGAUGACUCUUUUGACACAUAAACAAACUUCCUUAGAGGACAAUGAAACACACAUGAAAACAGUGUAGGCCUAAAAGCAGCCACCAAUUAAGAAAGUGUUAAAGCUCAAAUUUACCUAAUAUUUAAUCCCAACAAUUCAUCAAAAUCCCUACACCCAAUAUUGGACAGUUUUAUUAACAUUUAGAAGAUAUAAUGCUAAUUAUUAGUAAAAUGAAUUCAUUCUCCUUGCAUAUAUAAACUCAGCUCUGAAUAAUCACUAAUAAUUAACCAAACAAAUAGUCAUACCCCCACACUAGCAUUCUAUUACACACAUUAUUAACCCAACACAGCCAUAGAUUUAAGAAAAGAUUAAAAGAAAUAAAAGGAACUCAACAAACAAAAAACCCUUGCCUGUUUACCAAAAACAUCACCUCUAGCAAUUACCAAUAUUAGAGGCACUGUCUGCCUGGUGAGUUAUAACUUUUCACAGCUGUGGUAUCCUGACUGUGAAAAGGUAGCAUAAUCACUUGUCUUUUAAAUAGGGAGUAAUAUGAAUGGCAUAAUGAGAGUUUGACUAUCUCUUAUUCCCAAUCAAUAAAAUUGACCUUCCCGUGCAGAGGCGGGAAUACUAAUACAAGAUGAGAAGGCCCAUGGAGCUUAAGACACAUAACUCAUCACAUACUCUUAUUAAACUUACUGGAACUAACUAUAUAAACCAUUGAGUUAUAGUUUUUUUGUUGGGAUGACCUCAGAGCAUAAAACAACCUCUGAAUGAAAUAACCUAGAUUCACCAAUCUAAGUGUAUUAAUGCCAGUAAUUAACCCAUUUCUUGAUCAACAGAACAAGUUACCCCAGGGAUAACAGCCCAAUCCUAUUUGAGAGCCCAUAUCGAAAAUUAGGGUUUAAGACCUCGAUGUUGGAUCAGGACAUCCAAAUGGUGCUACUGCUAUUAAUGGUCUGUUUGUUUAACAAUUAAAGUACUAUGUGAUCUGAGUUCAGACCAGAGAAAUCCAGGUCAGUUUCUAUCUGUAAAUUCAUUUCUCCCAA
Molecule: ribosomal RNA, 1336 nt
Filed under: Sarcophilus harrisii (Tasmanian devil)
Lineage: Eukaryota; Metazoa; Chordata; Mammalia; Dasyuromorphia; Dasyuridae
Description: Bacterial large subunit ribosomal RNA
Rfam family: Archaeal large subunit ribosomal RNA (bases 641-1336)
Source: Rfam by way of RNAcentral